AUGUUAACUUCAACAACACAUAUGCUAAAAUUAGAAUAAUACAGAGAAAAAUACCAUGGCACCUGCAUAAGGAUAAAAUGUAAAUUUGUGAAUCAUCCCAUAUUUUG
This is a small nuclear RNA of Pteropus vampyrus (large flying fox), 107 nucleotides long. The record is from Ensembl. NCBI's taxonomy places the organism in Eukaryota, Metazoa, Chordata, Mammalia, Chiroptera, Pteropodidae.